UCCCUGUGAUGAUUAGUCUCCAGUCUUACAUGCUGUGUAGAGGCAGAACCUGCAAAGGUGAACCCACUGUCUCUCUCAGUGUGAAAUGAGGAUUGCUUGUUUUCCAAAACAGUCUGAUGGGAC
This is a small nucleolar RNA of Chiloscyllium plagiosum (whitespotted bambooshark), 123 nucleotides long. RefSeq annotates it as small nucleolar RNA SNORD22. The record is from RefSeq and is a predicted model, not a curated record. NCBI's taxonomy places the organism in Eukaryota, Metazoa, Chordata, Chondrichthyes, Orectolobiformes, Hemiscylliidae.